AACGAACGCUGGCGGCAUGCCUAACACAUGCAAGUCGAACGAGACCUUCGGGUCUAGUGGCGCACGGGUGCGUAACGCGUGGGAACCUGCCCUUAGGUUCGGAAUAACUCCCCGAAAGGGGUGCUAAUACCGGAUAAUGUCUUCGGACCAAAGAUUUAUCGCCUUUGGAUGGGCCCGCGUUGGAUUAGCUAGUUGGUAGGGUAAAAGCCUACCAAGGCGACGAUCCAUAGCUAGUCUGAGAGGAUGAUCAGCCACACUGGGACUGAGACACGGCACAGACUCCUACGGGAGGCAGCAGUGGGGAAUAUUGGACAAUGGGCGAAAGCCUAAUCCAGCAAUGCCGCGUGAGUGAUGAAGGCCUUAGGGUUGUAAAGCUCUUUUACCCGGGAUGAUAAUGACAGUACCGGGAGAAUAAGCUCCGGCUAACUCCGUG
This 433-nucleotide ribosomal RNA is filed under the name uncultured bacterium. RNAcentral describes it as "partial 16S ribosomal RNA". It matches the Rfam family "Bacterial small subunit ribosomal RNA", at positions 29 to 507 of the family's 1533-position model. The record is from RNAcentral.